Long non-coding RNA from Scomber japonicus (chub mackerel), 287 nucleotides. RefSeq lists it as uncharacterized. The record is from RefSeq and is a predicted model, not a curated record. Lineage: Eukaryota; Metazoa; Chordata; Actinopteri; Scombriformes; Scombridae. The transcript is spliced from 4 exons.
AGUACAAUGUUUCUGUUACAGUAUACCUGGUACCUAAUUCUUGGUGCACCGUUCGACUUCACUGUCUUCUGCGGAGAUGGUGGUGUGUAGUGCUGGUGGAAAAUCUACACCUGGAGGGGCAUGGAAGACGGUUUGCCCAUUUCACCAAAGAGGGGAAAGACAUGAUCAAUGGGCUUCUUGCACCUAUCUUCAGACUGAAGAGGAAAAAACCCAAUGAAGAGACAAAUGACCCUUGGAUAAUGGCAGACCACUGCUAUGCCAAAAAAACAAUUGUCCAUCAAACAGAG